This 27-nucleotide non-coding RNA is filed under the name Cricetulus griseus (Chinese hamster). Lineage: Eukaryota; Metazoa; Chordata; Mammalia; Rodentia; Cricetidae. The record is from RNAcentral.
UUGGGACCUAAAAGAGCUAGCAGAAUU